GUGGUUGUGGCUCAGUGGUAGAGUGCUCGCCUAGCAUGCAUGAGGUUCUGGUUUUGAUCCUCGACACCACAUAAAAACAAAUUAAUGUAUCCACCUAAAACUAAAGAUACAUACAUAAAUAAAUAUUUUUAAAAAAUUGAAAAUGCUGGGCUGGGGAUUUGGCUCAAGUGGUAGCGCGCUCGCCUAGCAUGCGUGAGACACUGGGUUUGAUUCUCAGCACCACA
Molecule: transfer RNA, 224 nt
Filed under: Marmota monax (woodchuck)
Lineage: Eukaryota; Metazoa; Chordata; Mammalia; Rodentia; Sciuridae
Description: tRNA.Ala
Source: RNAcentral